This 867-nucleotide ribosomal RNA is filed under the name Triticum aestivum (bread wheat). RNAcentral's name for it is "partial small subunit ribosomal RNA". Lineage: Eukaryota; Viridiplantae; Streptophyta; Magnoliopsida; Poales; Poaceae. The record is from RNAcentral.
UUUAUCUGUCAGCAGAACCACAAUGUGAACAACUGCGCAACAUGGUCUAAGAUUCAACCUACUGCUACCUUCUUUGGCAGUGGACCUCAAGGUCUUGGUUUCUACCAUGUGGACGUCCCGGUUGCUAAUGAGUCAAAGUGGUUAAACUUCCAGAAUUGUGCGGUGGUGAAUAUCUUAAAAGGAGAAGUGGAUUGUGCUAAACUGAUGGAGCUGUUGUCUGCUACUUUCUGUAAGACUAAACACUGGCCAUGGCAAAUCAGAGGGCUCUCCAGCAAGACCUUUUUGGUCAGAUUUCCCCCUUGGAAGAAAGUGGAAGACCUCGUUGAACUGCCUGGAUUCUCCCUGCCACAGGAUGUGAAUGUAACAUUAACUGACUGGAAGGGAGGGUGUGAACCUUUUGGAGAGCUGGUUGAAGCUUGGGUACUAAUUGAGGGGAUUCCCCCAAAGUGGUGUACUUGGAAAGUUUUUGCCCAAAUUGCUUCACUAUUUGGGGUACUUACAGAUGUGGAUUGGAAUGGAAUGUUUAGAACCUUUUUUGAGAAUGUUAGAAUUAAAAUAGCCUGUAGGGAUCCAACUAAGAUUCCUUUUGAAAGACUGAUUGAGAUGAAGAAAAAUUUGUUCCUGUUUAGUUUCACUGUAGAGGGGUUUGAACAGACAGGUGGUGUUGACUCUGCUAUUGAUGUGGAUGAGGAUGAAGAUGGUAAUGAGGAUGAUAAGAGAGAGCUGAGGAAGAGCAAGCUGAAAAAGAUGGUGGAACUGUUGGGGAACGUAGUAAUUUCAAAAAAAUUCCUACGCACACGCAAGAUCAUGGUGAUGCAUAGCAACGAGAGGGGAGAGUGUUGUCCACGUACCCUCGUAGACCGAUAG